UUAAAUAGCUCUGAUGAAAAUUGUCUAAAACCUUAAGCACUCUGCAACAUUUGUAGAUAUAGCUCUGAUAAAAAUAGCUCUGAUUAAAUAGCUCUAACAUUAAAUUUAAGAAAUUGCAGAAAGUUUUCAGAAAUCUCAUUACUUGGAAAGCUCUGGUAAGAACUUCUGAACUCCCUAGCACUAACUCAGGGGGAGCUUCUGUCUAUCUGAUCUUAUUUUAUUCAUGUUUCAUCUGCUAUUUUAAG
Molecule: long non-coding RNA, 245 nt
Filed under: Lathyrus oleraceus (garden pea)
Lineage: Eukaryota; Viridiplantae; Streptophyta; Magnoliopsida; Fabales; Fabaceae
Description: Pisum sativum (pea) long non-coding RNA (PSAT_LNC019077)
Source: RNAcentral